RNAcentral lists this long non-coding RNA (1229 nucleotides) under Manihot esculenta (cassava). RNAcentral describes it as "long non-coding RNA (MESC_LNC011136)". The record is from RNAcentral. Lineage: Eukaryota; Viridiplantae; Streptophyta; Magnoliopsida; Malpighiales; Euphorbiaceae.
GUGGGCCUCUGUGUCAUGGGCCUUUGGCUGUGGUCAAGCCCCUGUUCUGGGGUGAAGAAAUCCAGCGGUCAUCAAUUGCCCCUUCACCUUCUCGGGAGUUAUUGCUCCAACUGCCGAGGGGGUGAAUAUCAAGAAUCAUCAUGGCCGCGCCUGUUCGUGUCCAAGUGUCUUUAUAAUACUCUUUCAUUUUUUUGUCUUUGCGCAGUUUCUGAAUCCCAUCUGCUCUUUCCUCUUUCGGACUUUUCUUUAUUCUCCGUGUUCUCGGUUAUUUUUGCUUUCCUGUCAUUGUUAUCUGGACAUGUCUUUUCUUUCCUUUCUCAUGAAUAUCUUUGAAGGAUUCUGACAGCAUUAAUUGAGAAUUCGGCUCUACCUUGUCCUGCAAAACAUAAACUUUUGGAUAUAUAUAUUAACCUCACCUCUUUACCAUUCACAGGCACUUUGUUGGAACAGAGAGAUUUUCUUGUUUUAUCUGUGAAGGAUCCAUUUGGUGCCUUCUUCAAGCGGGCGAAGGCGAGCUUGAUAUUACAUUGCUGUGUUGCCCCAGGAAUUUGUUUGAAUCUUACUUUUAUCAUCUCGACGGAAAAUUGUGCUAACUUAUCUCUGUUUUGGGACUCUUUCGUAGUACCUGAGACGAAGAUGAGUCAAUUCAAAAUUUCAGAGGAGUGGAUGUUACCUCUAAGGAGUUUGAAUGUUGCUUUGGGGAUCCGUCUGGUAGGGCGGUUGAUGGGUGGGACCGUUCGGCAAGUUGCUGAAAUUAUUUUGCCCAGAUCUUCUGGCCGACCUCCCCCGUUGCUGCCUUCUUUGGAUGUAAAUGGAAGGGGCUCAAGUGCUCGGCUUGUUGUUUUCUUUGAUGUGAAGCACCAGUAUUAUUAGUCUCUUUGAUGUGAAGUACCAGUAUUAUGCGAGACUGAGAUCUGCUACACUCAGCCAAGCUUCUGCUGGUACCUUCACACGUUAGCCCGGCGAUCCUCCUGAGGUCGUAAUCUGAAGCCCGUGUUUUUUUAUGCGUGAUAUACACACAGCAUAUGACAUGUGAGCUUGUCACGCGUAUCACACUUGGGCAACCGAAUGCCGACCUACAGAGGAUCCAUGGGAAACGCUUAUGAGGAUUAACUUCUUGGCUUUCUGCAGCUCUUUCUGCCAAACUCACAUAUCGAGCUGCGAGAGUUUCUCCGAACCGAAGGCCGAAGUAGCAGGAUAGGUGAUGAUGAUGUAAUUGUUGAUGAUGA